AGAAAAUGACAAGUUGGAGUAAAAUGAUACGAACAUUUUCUGUAGAGUGAAUUGCAUAAAGUCCCUACGCAGCCUUGAAAAGUAUGAAAAUGACUUUUCCAGGGGUUUUUUUUAUGUUUAUUCAUAUCCAAAUAAUAUUUAUCCUCAAUUUUAAUUCAAACUCAUGGAUCAGUCUGGUUGUUGAGUUACUGAUUGAGAACAGCUGUUAUUUGUCUGCUCAUUCUAAAGUCCAAAAGGGCUUUUUGUGCUCCAGACCAGGGUGUUUAUGCAGCUCUUCAUCUCUAUUUGAGAAUGGUACAGAUUCUAUUUACAUUGGGUUGCCUCUAACUUGUGUGGUGUACUUCUCAGUGAGAAGAAACCAGAACAACAAACAGCUUAUGCA
Molecule: long non-coding RNA, 382 nt
Organism: Xiphophorus couchianus (Monterrey platyfish)
Lineage: Eukaryota; Metazoa; Chordata; Actinopteri; Cyprinodontiformes; Poeciliidae
Exons: 2
Source: RefSeq, a predicted model, not a curated record